This 497-nucleotide ribosomal RNA is filed under the name uncultured bacterium. RNAcentral describes it as "partial 16S ribosomal RNA". It matches the Rfam family "Bacterial small subunit ribosomal RNA", at positions 29 to 507 of the family's 1533-position model. The record is from RNAcentral.
AGUGAACGCUGGCGGUGGGCCUAAUACAUGCAAGUCGAACGAACGGACAGUAAGCGCGCGCUUUUGAGGGUAGCGGGGGGCGGAUGGGUAAGGCGUGGAUAGGAAUCUUAUAUUACGGGGGGAACAACGGGAGGCCGUAGAUGAUACUGGAUAAUAUGAUCAACGGGAGGGAGCAAAGGAUAAUGACGCCUUUGGUGACACAUAUAGAUGGAGCCGGGCUGCAUUAGCUAGUUGGUAAGGUAACGGCUUACCAAGGCAACGAUGCAUAGCUGACCUGAGAGGGUGAUCGGCCACACUGGAACUGAGACACGGUCCAGACUCCUACGGGAGGCAGCAGUAGGGAAUCUUCCGCAAUGGGCGCAAGCCUGACGGAGCCACGCCGCGUGAGUGAUGAAGGUCUUCGGAUCGUAAAGCUCUGUUAUUAGGGAAGAACAUAUGUGUAAGUAACCGUCCACAUCCUGACGGUACCUAAUCAGAAAGCCGCGGCUAACUACGUG